Non-coding RNA from Labrus bergylta (ballan wrasse), 236 nucleotides. The record is from RefSeq and is a predicted model, not a curated record. NCBI's taxonomy places the organism in Eukaryota, Metazoa, Chordata, Actinopteri, Labriformes, Labridae.
UCACUUUCUCCAGUGGUGACGCAGUUCUGUUCUCCGUGUUGAAGGCAGAGUCCUGUAAAAUAUUAUAAUCCUCUGGUUGAAGGAUGAAGAGACAGAGACCAGACUCUCCUGGACCCAGCUGUGUGUCCAUGAAGAGUGACCGGUCUAAAGGUUUAUAUAUUGGCUUUAAAGAUGGAUGUCCUGCUGAUGGAAGGAUGAAGAGACAGAGACCAGACUUUCCUGGACCCAGCUGUGUG